UUAAGUGCGAUCGUGCAAAGAUUCCUAGGAGAAAGAUAUAUCAUAUGCAACGCAGAGUUGGUUACAAAUCAACAGGGUUAUGUCGGUCUCCGCAUGCUAUGUUUCCUGCGCACGCAUUUGUACAUUCAAGAUGUUUAUGGGUAAAAUGAAUGUUAUAGGACGCAAAUUUGUUGUUAACAACUGGACAAUAUAGUAACGUAUAUUCUUUUCAUCAGUUUCAUGUAAAUUUGCAAUUUGUGAUUUUGUUUUUUAUUUGGAUAUUUCGGUAUUUACAAAGAACGAUAAAAUGUUUUUUCAUAAAAAUAUAUCAGUGCCUCUCAUUUUGAUAAAUGUUCUUUUAUUUGUACAGAACUUCCAGUAUGUAUUAUAGAGCGAUAUUAAUCUAUAACUUAAAAUCAAGCAUACAAGAAUGAAUCAAGAUUUUCAUUCGUUUGUUCCUCCAUGAUUUAUACAAAUGGAAGACAUUUCAUAGAACGAAUCGUCGGUAAGGAACUAAAACUAUGAAAUCUGUUUUUACUACUGUACGUAUAAUUAAAAAAUUGAUUGUACAUCGUUUGCAGUCGUUAACACAGUGAAGCGUUAGCGUUUACUUUUAGAGAUUUCUUUGCAUUGUAUUAAAAGGAAAAUUUUAAUUCAGACAUCCGCGAGACAGGUAGUAAAUCAUAUUUUACAACUUUCCAUAUAAUAUGAUGUGAAAUUUGUUGAGAAUGUAAUAAAUUCAGCUAUACAGGACACUUAAAAAUAUGCCGAUGAGCAUAAGAUGCAAAUAGAACUCGUAGAAACGAAAUACGAAGAAUUUAUGAAUCAUAAAAUCAUGUUUUUUAAUAGAAUUAUUAGUAUGUUCCUAUCUAUUUUACAAAUAUAUAUUACUCAAAACAAUUAGAGCAUUGCGUUUUUAUAAUAUCUUUAGUCAUAUUUUUAUCGAAUGUCUAAUGUAUAUGCUAUUGAAUUUUUGUUCUAAAAAACAAGUAUCAUUAAAUAGUAAAGUCAUUUCACGAGGUAAUUCCUUAAUUGUUUUGAGUUAUUAUAAGCUACUGAAAAUGGUGAACAUUUAUCCAAAAUAUGUAAUUUUCAAAAUUCACUUCUGUCAACGAUCUCUUCCAAGUUUUCUAGGAUGUCCUCAUGAAGUUAAACUCAUACUGUUAAAUUGGUUUCCAUUUGCGAAAUAUCUGUACUAUUACACACAUCUGUAUUAUUCAUUGAACUGAAAAAUAGGGUAUUUCUAUAUGAUCGAUAGUAUGUAUAGGUAAUAUUUGUGCGCACAUAUAUUUAAGCGAGCGCAUGGGAGAAUCUGUUUUAAAAAAUAUCCCAGAUGUAUGACAAAAAUAACUUUGUCUCACGAAGAAUCUUCUUGUGAACUUAUAUGUAUAUAAAAGUAGUUUCGAUAUUUCAUUGGCAUUGUGAAUAGUUGAGAGGACGAUCUAAGUCCCGAGAUAGUUUUCUUCUUUUCUUUUUUUGAAAUUCGAACUAGUGAAGCGACUUUUUAUGGCGACGCGAUAUAAAAAUUAGAUUUCGAUAGAGAUACUCAUAGAUCAAUUCAAAUGUCAGACCAUCAGAUUAUGUGAUUAACACCAGACAUUAUAAAAAAACAGAAUCGAUUAUGUAGAUGAUGUCUUAUUGUAUAAUUACAAGCUACUAACUCGAGGGCUGACGACAUCCAUAUUAGAGUUCGUAUAUUGAAAAUUUUUGGUCCUUACGUUUUCUCUACUGUACAAUACUCUUAAAUAAAUUACAUUGGAUCUAA
Molecule: long non-coding RNA, 1744 nt
Organism: Bombus huntii
Lineage: Eukaryota; Metazoa; Arthropoda; Insecta; Hymenoptera; Apidae
Exons: 2
Source: RefSeq, a predicted model, not a curated record